AGAGUCGGCCAGACGGCCGCGGCGCCGUUCGCGGUGUCGAGGAAAGUCCGGACUCCACAGGGCAGGGUGGUCGGUAACGCCGACCCGGGGUGACCCGCGGGACAGUGCCACAGAGAACAGUCCGCCACCGCGUGCGGUGGUAAGGGUGAAACGGUGGUGUAAGAGACCACCAGCGGCCGGAGUGAUCCGGUCGGCUAGGUAAACCCCACCCGGAGCAAGGUCGAGAAGGGGGACCGCAAGGUCCUCCGCGCGGAUGAUCGAGGGCGGCCCGCCCGAGUCCGCGGGUUGACCGCACCGAGGCUGUCGGCAACGGCAGUCCCAGAUGGAUGGCCGUCCGGUCCCACCGGGACCGACAGAAUCCGGCUUAUCGGCCGGCUCUUCCC
RNAcentral lists this RNase P RNA (383 nucleotides) under Nocardiopsis mwathae. RNAcentral describes it as "RNase P class A". It matches the Rfam family "Bacterial RNase P class A". From Rfam's summary of the family: Ribonuclease P (RNase P) is a ubiquitous endoribonuclease, found in archaea, bacteria and eukarya as well as chloroplasts and mitochondria. Its best characterised activity is the generation of mature 5'-ends of tRNAs by cleaving the 5'-leader elements of precursor-tRNAs. Lineage: Bacteria; Bacillati; Actinomycetota; Actinomycetes; Streptosporangiales; Nocardiopsidaceae. The record is from RNAcentral.